This 301-nucleotide ribosomal RNA is filed under the name uncultured bacterium. RNAcentral describes it as "partial 16S ribosomal RNA". It matches the Rfam family "Bacterial small subunit ribosomal RNA", at positions 509 to 807 of the family's 1533-position model. The record is from RNAcentral.
CAGCAGCCACGGUAAUACGAAGGGGGCUAGCGUUGUUCGGAUUUACUGGGCGUAAAGCGCACGUAGGCGGAUCGAUCAGUCAGGGGUGAAAUCCCAGAGCUCAACUCUGGAACUGCCUUUGAUACUGUCGAUCUGGAGUAUGGAAGAGGUAAGUGGAAUUCCGAGUGUAGAGGUGAAAUUCGUAGAUAUUCGGAGGAACACCAGUGGCGAAGGCGGCUCACUGGUCCAUUACUGACGCUGAGGUGCGAAAGCGUGGGGAGCAAACAGGAUUAGAUACCCGCGUAGUCCCUGUCUCUUAUAC